Molecule: ribosomal RNA, 731 nt
Filed under: Bacillus sp. FJAT-4655
Lineage: Bacteria; Bacillati; Bacillota; Bacilli; Caryophanales; Bacillaceae
Description: bacterial SSU rRNA
Rfam family: Bacterial small subunit ribosomal RNA
Source: RNAcentral
GCAGUCGAGCGAAUCGACGGGAGCUUGCUCCCUGAGAUUAGCGGCGGACGGGUGAGUAACACGUGGGCAACCUGCCUAUAAGACUGGGAUAACUUCGGGAAACCGGAGCUAAUACCGGAUACGUUCUUUUCUCGCAUGAGAGAAGAUGGAAAGACGGUUUACGCUGUCACUUAUAGAUGGGCCCGCGGCGCAUUAGCUAGUUGGUGAGGUAAUGGCUCACCAAGGCGACGAUGCGUAGCCGACCUGAGAGGGUGAUCGGCCACACUGGGACUGAGACACGGCCCAGACUCCUACGGGAGGCAGCAGUAGGGAAUCUUCCGCAAUGGACGAAAGUCUGACGGAGCAACGCCGCGUGAACGAAGAAGGCCUUCGGGUCGUAAAGUUCUGUUGUUAGGGAAGAACAAGUACCAGAGUAACUGCUGGUACCUUGACGGUACCUAACCAGAAAGCCACGGCUAACUACGUGCCAGCAGCCGCGGUAAUACGUAGGUGGCAAGCGUUGUCCGGAAUUAUUGGGCGUAAAGCGCGCGCAGGUGGUUCCUUAAGUCUGAUGUGAAAGCCCACGGCUCAACCGUGGAGGGUCAUUGGAAACUGGGGAACUUGAGUGCAGAAGAGGAAAGUGGAAUUCCAAGUGUAGCGGUGAAAUGCGUAGAGAUUUGGAGGAACACCAGUGGCGAAGGCGACUUUCUGGUCUGUAACUGACACUGAGGCGCGAAAGCGUGGGGAGCAAA